RNAcentral lists this ribosomal RNA (776 nucleotides) under uncultured Neocallimastigales. RNAcentral's name for it is "partial large subunit ribosomal RNA". It matches the Rfam family "Eukaryotic large subunit ribosomal RNA", at positions 22 to 643 of the family's 3401-position model. The record is from RNAcentral. Lineage: Eukaryota; Fungi; Neocallimastigomycota; Neocallimastigomycetes; Neocallimastigales.
CAUAGCGACUAUCGUGGCAUAUCAAUAAGCGGAGGAAAAGAAACUAACUAGGAUUCCCUCAGUAACGGCGAGUGAAGCGGGAAGAGCUCAAAUUUGAAAUCUUCAAGGUUCUACCUUGACGAAUUGUAGUUUAAAGAAGUGUUUUCUGUUGGAGUUUUGGUAAAAGUUCUUUGGAAUAGGACAUCAUAGAGGGUGAGAAUCCCGUAUUUGGACCAUUAUUUCCUAGCUUUGUGAUACACUUUCAACGAGUCGGAUUGUUUGGGAAUGCAGUCCAAAAUGGGUGGUAAAUUUCAUCUAAAGCUAAAUAUUGGCGAGAGACCGAUAGCGAACAAGUACCGUGAGGGAAAGAUGAAAGGAACUUUGAAAAGAGAGUUAAACAGUACGUGAGAUUGUCAAAAGGGAAGCGUUUGACACCAGUGUUGUUUUUCCGAAAAUCAAUUACGAAUGUUUUGUUUUUGAGGAGUUAUGACUUCAUCGGCUUGCUCUCUUCUUUACGAAACUUUCUUAAUGCACUUUUCGGUUAACAAGUCAACAUCAAUUUCUUUUGUUGUAAAAGGGUAUGAGGAAGGUGGCUUUCUUUUCGGAGAAAGUGUUUAUAGCCUUGUGCCUCUGCAAUCGGAGAGAUUGAGGUCUGCAGCGUAGAUCCUUCGGGGUUAGAUACGUUUGUGCUAAGUUAUAGCUUUUCAUAGACAACUUGUUGACUAUGUUUAGUCUUGUAGCUUACUCGCUUACGCUAUUUUACCUACGCUUAGGAUGUUGAUAUGCAUGACUGAUAU